RNAcentral lists this long non-coding RNA (2587 nucleotides) under Homo sapiens (human). RNAcentral's name for it is "HSALNT0343767". The record is from RNAcentral. Lineage: Eukaryota; Metazoa; Chordata; Mammalia; Primates; Hominidae.
UUUUCCCUUCUAACCACCCGCGCUCUCACACUUUGCCUCCGCUCCGCCGUUUCCAUGGCUCCGGUUUCCUACUUUCCUCUUGUCUCCUCCGUCCUCAGCCUGUUCUGUAAUGUGGGAUUUACUAGAAGAGCAGGGCUGGUGUUCGAGGAGGAGAAGUUGAAAUCCUAGAGGGAGGAAGGCGGGGAAGCCAAUACUACUUGCUAUUUCCACUGCAAUGAACGUCUCUGUGUCAUCAAAAUAAGAACUUCAACCCCAAGGUUGAAACAGCCAAGCAGAAUUUGAUGGAAAUAUAUUUAGGAACAGCUAAAUUAGCAGUGCGACGCGUGUUUUCUUUUCAUUGAAGAAUUCAGCCAGUUAAAACGAGUCUAAAUGGAAGUCUGAAAGCUUUUUCUUCAUUGUUGAGGAAUAAAAUAUUUCGUGUAUUUUUCGUUUUCCAGAUUCAUUCAUUUAACAAAUAUCAGUUGAGCACUUUCCAUGCCGUAGGGCCUGUACAAGGCACAUAGCAUUCUAGACAUCUGAAGCAUCAAAACUAAUCAUUUUUAUUUUGAAGAAAAUCACUCAAAAUAUUUUAUGUACUUUGUGCCUUUCAUGAACAGAAUAUUCCAAGCAUUCUCUGCAAAAUACGCAUGAAAACAAUUGGGAGAGAAGAGGUCAAUUAUCUUUGAGAAGCCCAAUUACAGAAUGAAAUUCAAUUCAUUAUUAAAAAUACAUGGAUCUAAUAAAGAAUAAAUAAUUGGAAAAGAAAAGUUUAAGGAAGAGAGAAACGGGAAUGAGAAACAAUUACUGUGGGCUCCCAAUGGCCUGGAGUGAAUCACCAAAGUAACCUAAACAUGAAGUCAUGAAAAACUAAGUGGAUUCUGCCUUUUAGUACUUCCCAUCAUGGGGGAAGUCACCAGCGACCUCCUUACUGUAUUUUGGAUGAUUCAAGAAAUAGAAAGGUGUCCUACUGACUUCUGAAACAGGGUGUCUUCAUAUUGAUUAGGGUCACCGUAAGCCUGGGAGCUGAUGCUUACUCUCAGGUAAAGGAUGCUGUGUGAGGCUGCUUGAUGAAUGAGAAUACUAACAUUCUUCUGCAUUGAAAAAAUAUAACCUAUAAGAUGAACAUUGUAGGCCGGGCGCAGUGGCUCACGCCUGUAAUCCCAACACUUUGGGAGUCUGAGGCGGAUGGAUCACCUGAGGCCAGGAGUUUGAGACCAGCCUGGCCAACGUAGUGAAACCUCAUCUCUAUUAAAAGUACAAAAAAUUAGCCUGGUGUGGUGGUGCACACUUGUAAUCCCAGCUACUCAGGAGCCUGAGGCAGGAGAAUCAUUUGAACCUGGGAGGCAGAGGUUGCAGUGAGCCGAGAUUGCACCACUGAACUCCAGCCUGGGCAACAGAGCCAGACUCUGUCUCCAAAAAAAAAAAAACAUGAACAUGGCCAUUCUAAAGUCCUACAGUAUCCAGAUGAGAAACGAGAGAAAGCAUAAGCUUUGGAGUCCAAAGAUCAGGAUUUUAGCGUCAGCACUCCACACCUUAGCUAUACAAUCUCAAAGCAGCCUGCACCUGUGGCCUCAUGGCGCAUUCUCUACAAUCAGUUGACAGAGGAAGAGAAGACUCAGGCCUGGUUUACAGAUGAUUUUGCAUUCUACGCAGAUCUUAUCACAAUGAAUAAUUUGGUCUUGCUCGAUCACCCAGGCUGGAGUGCAGCCUCGACCUCCCAGGCUCAAGUGAUCUCCCACCUCAGCCUCUUGAAUAGCUGAAAUCACAGUUCCACAGGUUGAGAUAUGUUACUUAAGAUCUCAAUACCCUUUUCCAAAGACUUCUGGGAUGACUUGGAAGUGAUGGUUGGAUGAAUCCCUUUCUGAAGAAGCUUGGCCCAGGAACCUAUGAGAGAGCCAGCAAUAGUGCCAACUGAUGCAGUGCUAUCUCCUGCUUCUAUAUCUUAGCCCCCCCAGCAUUCUGCUGCUGGAUGUGACACUUGCAUUUGUUUCAGAAUGGUGGCACCAUCAUUUGUAGUGAUCACAUUGCCUUUUCCACCUUAAAUCUUUUUUCCCAUUCCUUUUGGUCCAAGGCUUGUUUUAAUAGCAUCAGCAACAGCUUUGGCUGUGAUGUUGCUGAACCAGAUCUCAGCCUGCUUGUCAUAUCCCUGACAGGCACCUUUCACACAGCAGCUGGCAGCCCUGGUGGGUGCCCUGCUCCAUGGUCCAAACAACAUCUUUACUUGGGCAUGUUAACUAAAACUUUCUCCUUAUGUGUUACAUCUUGUUUUGUUUUUUGUUUGUUUUGCUGUCAGGUUCUAAAGAUGUGCUCCUUUAGGGUUAGGGAAAGGCUCCAGGAUGGCUAUGGAAUUCCACUAGGGAGCUAGAGGGCCACAGGAAUCUACCAGCUGGGGGACUUUGGCCAAGUUACUUUAAACCAUAGUUCUCAAAGUGUGAUCUCCAGACCAGCAUCAUCAGCCACACCUGGGAACCUAUUACAAAUACAAAUUCUUGGGCCUUGUUGGAGAUCUAUUGAACAAGAAACUGGGAGUGGGGCUUAGCCAUUUAUGUUGAACAAACCCUCAAGAUGCUGCUGAUGAAUACUUAAGUUUGAGAAAUACUGUGUUAAA